This 348-nucleotide unclassified non-coding RNA is filed under the name soil metagenome. RNAcentral describes it as "partial contains 5.8S ribosomal RNA, internal transcribed spacer 2, and large subunit ribosomal RNA". The stretch from base 1 to 120 matches the Rfam family "5.8S ribosomal RNA", at positions 35 to 154 of the family's 154-position model. The record is from RNAcentral.
GAUGAAGAACGUAGCAAAAUGCGAUAAGUAAUGUGAAUUGCAGAAUUCAGUGAAUCAUCGAAUCUUUGAACGCACAUUGCGCCCGCUGGUAUUCCGGCGGGCAUGCAUGUUCGAGCGUCAUUUCAACCCUCAAGCCCCCGGGUUUGGUGUUGGGGAUCGGCUCUGCCCUUCUGGGCGGUGCCGCCCCCGAAAUACAUUGGCGGUCUCGCUGCAGCCUCCAUUGCGUAGUAGCUAACACCUCGCAACUGGAACGCGGCGCGGCCAUGCCGUAAAACCCCAACUUCUGAAUGUUGACCUCGGAUCAGGUAGGAAUACCCGCUGAACUUAAGCAUAUCAAUAAGCGGAGGA